UACGUAGGGUGCAAGCGUUAAUCGGAAUUACUGGGCGUAAAGCGUGCGCAGGCGGUGAUGUAAGACAGGUGUGAAAUCCCCGGGCUCAACCUGGGAACUGCAUUUGUGACUGCACAGCUGGAGUGCGGCAGAGGGGGAUGGAAUUCCGCGUGUAGCAGUGAAAUGCGUAGAUAUGCGGAGGAACACCGAUGGCGAAGGCAAUCCCCUGGACCUGUGACUGACGCUCAUGCACGAAAGCGUGGGGAGCAAA
RNAcentral lists this ribosomal RNA (250 nucleotides) under uncultured bacterium. Its description in RNAcentral is "partial 16S ribosomal RNA". It matches the Rfam family "Bacterial small subunit ribosomal RNA", at positions 524 to 772 of the family's 1533-position model. The record is from RNAcentral.